This 301-nucleotide ribosomal RNA is filed under the name uncultured bacterium. Its description in RNAcentral is "partial 16S ribosomal RNA". It matches the Rfam family "Bacterial small subunit ribosomal RNA", at positions 509 to 809 of the family's 1533-position model. The record is from RNAcentral.
CAGUCGCCGCGGGAAUACGUAGGGUGCAAGCGUUAAUCGGAUUUAUUGGGCGUAAAGGGUGCGUAGGCGGUUUGGCAAGUCUCGUGUGAAAUCUAUGGGCUCAACCCAUAGCCUGCACGAGAAACUACCGGGCUUGAGUAUUGGAGAGGUGAGUGGAAUUUCCGGUGUAGCGGUGAAAUGCGUAGAUAUCGGAAGGAACACCUGUGGCGAAAGCGGCUCACUGGACAAUAACUGACGCUGAUGCACGAAAGCUAGGGGAGCAAACAGGAUUAGAUACCCGCGUAGUCCCUGUCUCUUAUAU